Molecule: ribosomal RNA, 253 nt
Filed under: uncultured bacterium
Lineage: Bacteria
Description: partial 16S ribosomal RNA
Rfam family: Bacterial small subunit ribosomal RNA
Source: RNAcentral
UACGGAGGGAGCUAGCGUUGUUCGGAAUUACUGGGCGUAAAGCGUACGUAGGCGGUUAUUCAAGUCAGAGGUGAAAGCCCGGGGCUCAACCCCGGAACUGCCUUUGAAACUAGAUAGCUAGAAUCUUGGAGAGGUCAGUGGAAUUCCGAGUGUAGAGGUGAAAUUCGUAGAUAUUCGGAAGAACACCAGUGGCGAAGGCGACACACUGGCCCGUUACUGACGCUAAGGCGCGAAAGCGUGGGGAGCAAACAGG